AUUCCAGCUCCAAUAGCGUAUAUUUAAGUUGCUGCAGUUAAAAAGCUCGUAGUUGGAUUUCGGGCGGUUGACGACGGUCCGCCUCUGGUGUGCACUGCCGUUCUUCCGCCUUUCUGUCGGGGACGUGCUCCUAGGCUUCAUUGUCUGGGACACGGGUUCGACGUGGUUACUUUGAGUAAAUUAGAGUGUUCAAAGCAGGCAUCGCCUUGAAUAUAUUAGCAUGGAAUAGCACGAUAGGACUCUGGCCUAUUUUGCUGGUCUGUAGGACCGGAGUAAUGAUUAAGAGGGACAGUCGGGGGCAUUCGUAUUUCAUUGUCAGAGGUGAAAUUCUUGGAUUUAUGGAAGACAAACUAAUGCGAAAGCAUCUACCAAGGAUGUUUUCAUUG
RNAcentral lists this ribosomal RNA (386 nucleotides) under Chlamydomonas sp. RNAcentral's name for it is "partial small subunit ribosomal RNA". It matches the Rfam family "Eukaryotic small subunit ribosomal RNA", at positions 582 to 975 of the family's 1831-position model. Lineage: Eukaryota; Viridiplantae; Chlorophyta; Chlorophyceae; Chlamydomonadales; Chlamydomonadaceae. The record is from RNAcentral.